This 267-nucleotide ribosomal RNA is filed under the name uncultured bacterium. RNAcentral describes it as "partial 16S ribosomal RNA". It matches the Rfam family "Bacterial small subunit ribosomal RNA", at positions 123 to 406 of the family's 1533-position model. The record is from RNAcentral.
AAUCUGCCCCUUGGUUCGGAAUAACAGUUAGAAAUGACUGCUAAUACCGGAUGAUGUCUUCGGACCAAAGAUUUAUCGCCAAGGGAUGAGCCCGCGUAGGAUUAGCUAGUUGGUGAGGUAAAAGCUCACCAAGGCGACGAUCCUUAGCUGGUCUGAGAGGAUGAUCAGCCACACUGGGACUGAGACACGGCCCAGACUCCUACGGGAGGCAGCAGUGGGGAAUAUUGGACAAUGGGCGAAAGCCUGAUCCAGCAAUGCCGCGUGAGU